This 401-nucleotide ribosomal RNA is filed under the name uncultured bacterium. RNAcentral describes it as "bacterial SSU rRNA". It matches the Rfam family "Bacterial small subunit ribosomal RNA", at positions 359 to 776 of the family's 1533-position model. The record is from RNAcentral.
GAAUCUUGCACAAUGGGGGCAACCCUGAUGCAGCGACGCCGCGUGAGCGAUGAAGCCCUUCGGGGUGUAAAGCUCUUUCGACCGGAACGAUGAUGACGGUACCGGGAGAAGAAGCUGCGGCUACCUACGUGCCAGCAGCCGCGGUAAUACGUAGGCAGCGAGCGUUGUUCGGAGUUACUGGGCGUAAAGCGUGCGUAGGCGGUUUUCUAAGUCUGGUGUGAAAUCUCCCGGCUUAACCGGGAGGGUGCGCCGGAUACUGGAAGGCUUGGAGUGCGGGAGAGGUACGCGGAAUUCCUGGUGUAGCGGUGAAAUGCGUAGAUAUCAGGAGGAACACCGGCGGUGUAGACGGCGUACUGGACCGUGACUGACGCUGAGGCACGAAAGCGUGGGGAGCAAACAGG